UACAAGGGCCAGAGCAAGCAGCAGGUUGGCUCCGGCAGUAGCCCUGCUGUUGGACAGGGGGCAGAAUUAAAAGGAGCUAUAUUCCUUUUCUGAAGAGGACAGAGCCCUUCAUGGGGACAGGCAUGACAACAGAAGUAAGGUCUGAAAGAGGGGAGAGUAUUGGCCUGGAAAGGAUGUUCCAGUUGUCGGGAGCACAUAUGGAAAAGCACAGCAACCACGGAGACUCCCUGCAAAUGGAAUCUCAUGUCAUUACACAGUAUGGA
Molecule: long non-coding RNA, 263 nt
Filed under: Chrysemys picta bellii (western painted turtle)
Lineage: Eukaryota; Metazoa; Chordata; Testudines; Emydidae
Description: lncRNA (ENSCPBG00000024128.1)
Source: RNAcentral